ACUUAAAUAGCUUAAUUUAGAGCGUAACAUUGAAGAUGUUAAGGUAAUGUUAAUUAUUUUUAAGUA
RNAcentral lists this transfer RNA (66 nucleotides) under Lepidapion squamigerum. RNAcentral's name for it is "tRNA-Phe". It matches the Rfam family "tRNA". From Rfam's summary of the family: Transfer RNA (tRNA) molecules are approximately 80 nucleotides in length. The record is from RNAcentral. Lineage: Eukaryota; Metazoa; Arthropoda; Insecta; Coleoptera; Brentidae.